ACACUCCUACGGGAGGCAGCAGUGGGGAAUUUUGGACAAUGGGCGAAAGCCUGAUCCAGCAAUGCCGCGUGCAGGAUGAAGGCCUUCGGGUUGUAAACUGCUUUUGUACGGAACGAAAAAGCUCCUUCUAAUACAGGGGGCCCAUGACGGUACCGUAAGAAUAAGCACCGGCUAACUACGUGCCAGCAGCCGCGGUAAUACGUAGGGUGCGAGCGUUAAUCGGAAUUACUGGGCGUAAAGCGUGCGCAGGCGGUUAUGUAAGACAGAUGUGAAAUCCCCGGGCUCAACCUGGGAACUGCAUUUGUGACUGCAUGGCUAGAGUACGGUAGAGGGGGAUGGAAUUCCGCGUGUAGCAGUGAAAUGCGUAGAUAUGCGGAGGAACACCGAUGGCGAAGGCAAUCCCCUGGACCUGUACUGACGCUCAUGCACGAAAGCGUGGGGAGCAAACAGGAUUAGAUACCCGUGUAGUCCCA
Molecule: ribosomal RNA, 473 nt
Filed under: uncultured organism
Description: partial 16S ribosomal RNA
Rfam family: Bacterial small subunit ribosomal RNA
Source: RNAcentral